RNAcentral lists this ribosomal RNA (235 nucleotides) under uncultured fungus. RNAcentral's name for it is "partial 18S ribosomal RNA". It matches the Rfam family "Eukaryotic small subunit ribosomal RNA", at positions 548 to 785 of the family's 1831-position model. The record is from RNAcentral. Lineage: Eukaryota; Fungi.
UUGGAGGGCAAGUCUGGUGCCAGCAGCCGCGGUAAUUCCAGCUCCAAUAGCGUAUAUUAAAGUUGUUGCAGUUAAAAAGCUCGUAGUUGAAUUUCGGGAUCAAUUUAUUGGUCGUGCCAACGGUACGCACUGGUACAAUUGGUUUCUCCCUUCCGACGGAGCGUGAUGUCAUUAACUUGAUGUCGUGUGGAAUCAGGACUGUUACUUUGAAAAAAUUAGAGUGUUUAAAGCAGGC